GUGGGGAAUAUUGGACAAUGGGCGCAAGCCUGAUCCAGCCAUGCCGCGUGUGUGAAGAAGGCCUUUUGGUUGUAAAGCACUGUAAGCGAGGAGGAGGCUCCUUUCGUUAAUACCUAAAGAGAGUGGACGUUACUCGCAGAAUAAGCACCGGCUAACUCUGUGCCAGCAGCCGCGGUAAUACAGAGGGUGCGAGCGUUAAUCGGAUUUACUGGGCGUAAAGCGUGCGUAGGCGGCUUUUUAGGUCGGAUGUGAAAUCCCUGAGCUUAACCUAGGAAUUGCAGUGGAUACUGGAAAGCUAGAGUAUGGUAGAGGAUGGUAGAAUUCCAGGUGUAGCGGUGAAAUGCGUAGAGAUCAGGAGGAAUACCGAUGGCGAAGGCAGCCAUCUGGCCUAAUACUGACGCUGAGGUACGAAAGCAUGGGGAGCAAACAGGAUUAGAAACCCUUGUAGUCC
RNAcentral lists this ribosomal RNA (451 nucleotides) under uncultured bacterium. RNAcentral describes it as "partial 16S ribosomal RNA". It matches the Rfam family "Bacterial small subunit ribosomal RNA", at positions 354 to 796 of the family's 1533-position model. The record is from RNAcentral.